GUGGCCAGGGAGCCGCAGGCAAGGGACUAAGGGGAGGGGGGCUCAGUGCCAGCUGCUUAAAAAUGCCCCUGUGGCAGCGAGGGGCACCAGAGGCUGGGUCUAAUUAGUUGAGAAGCAGUGACACCCCCAACCACUCCCCAAACAGGCUGGCUCCCGUCUCCAGGCCCCAAGGAGCCACACCUGGACCAGACCCCAGGAAAGCCAAAGAGGGAGACUAUGGUACACUCUUCACAGCCAAGGGCAGGGGACAGAGGAGAGGCGGUGCCCAGGCAGGAUGCAACUAUCUCCAAGAGAUAGUUAGAGAAUGGCAGCCUAUCUUGAGUUCUGGCUGCUCUGCCCAGGAGGUCCCUUUGAAUGGCCAGAGAUGGUCUCCAAUGCUGUUGGCCUCCUGCAGAGGAAAGAGCCCAAGGCUGGGAAUGGAAACCCUUGGUUCUAUUCCUGGCUGUGCCCUAACUCUUCAUAUGACCUUCAACGCGACCUUGAACAUGCAGCUUCCUCUGGCCUCAGUGUGUCCAGCGAGAGGCUAGACCCCACCAGGCCUGGUGGCUCACUCCUAUAAUCCCAGCACUUUGGGAGGCCAAGGCAGGCAGAUCAUGAGGCAAGGGCACUAGCUGGUGGGAGCCACCCCGCCAUGCUGAUGUCAGAGAAGCAAGAACUCUGGAGAAGCAGCCUCCUGGGACCAGAGGAGGGCCAGCAGCAGGCAGCCCGGAGACAGAACUAAUGUGUCUGGGGGUGAGGGGAGGGGUGUGACUGCCGAAACUUCCUUUCUUGGUGAUUCCACAUCACUCCUUUCUGAUCCCUGAGCCUGUGCCACGCCCUGUGUGAUGUGCCAGGGACACCAGGCUCACCCACGCCUCUCCAAGCCUCCCGACAGAAGACAGAGGUCCCCCACAGCCAGAGACAUUUCCUGAAGACAUGGGGAACACAGAGGCAGAAACAGCCCAUCCACCCAGGAGCUGUCCCCCACACUGCCGGGAGCCGGCACCCAGAGCCGCCAGGUAAAACUGAGGCCACCUGGUUCAACAUCGCCUUUCAUAGAAGGGGAAGCAGCCACAGAAAGAAGGGCCUGGUAAGAAGUGGAACCUGGGACCCCCAAGCGGUGUCUCUCAUCCUGACUGGGGAUCCAGAGUAGGAGGGAGCCUUUGGUGGGGUAAGUGGAAUGGGGCAGUGGGGGUGGCCAUAGACCCCUCUUCUCAGUAAGGCCCUCAUGUGAAGGAGGCAGGGGUUGGGACAAGUGCUAAGUAUGCAAGACUCAAGGGAAGAGCUGCUGGAGCCAGGGGAAGCACCUCCCUCCCGGCCCCUCUGCCCCUCCUCAUAGCCCAGCUGCACUGACUCCUCCUCCAGGAAGCCUUCUCAGCUUCCCCAGGGGUGGGAACCUUUUCGUCCUCCAGGUGUGCUUGGCUGUCCUUUCUUGGGCUCUCUCUCUCUCUCUCCUCAUCCCACUUGAGUCUGCCCCCUAUUCACCUUGUGAGGGGAAUUUCCUUCUACUCAAUCUGACCGAGGUCCUCCAGGUCAAGGACGGCGUGGCUCUCAGUCCCACUUCCCCUUGGCACAUAGAAGAGGCAGUGCGCUGAAGGGACAGGUGAAAUGAUUAGACCCUGCCCCCAAACCAAGGCCUGGCCAAUUGGACAGGGCAUGAGACAUUCAGCGUAGAGGUUAAAAUGAGGGCCCUGGGUUAGGAACCCCAGCUCAGUUCUCAGCUCUGUACCCUUGGAAAAUUCCCUUCCCAUGGAGCUUUGUGAAUGCACAGGGACUUGCACAAAGAAAACAUUCAAUAUCCAGGACUAUAAAAUUCCACAAAUGACUGUGCUUAUUACAUUCAUUAUCACGAUGAUUAUUCCAGACACAAAGGAACAGAACGAGGCACCAACAGCAAGGGGCAAGCAGAUUCAAGGGCCACAGAGGAGAUGGAGGCAAACACCUUCCCCUGGUCAGAGGCUGUGCCUCAGCCCUUCUCCCUGCAUCAGUUUCUCCUUCAGAAGCAUGGGACUACCUCCCAUCUAGUUCUCGUUUCUAAACCCAGGGGAGAUGCUAUCUUUGCUGCAAUAAUCUUAGCCUACAUCUUGGAAUGGAAAUGGCCUUGGUGGAAAUGGUCUUCAACUCCUCUGGUCCAAGCUCAGGCCCUGUGACCCUGGAACAAUCCCCUUCCUGGUCCUCCAUGUAGGAGCAAUAACAUUCCCUUGCCAGCGGCACCAGCCAUUCUGAUGAUUAAAUGGUAUCGGACUCUGUUUUCCAAACUCAGUCAUUCAGAUGCCCCCUAUUUUAUUUCUUCCAUGUCUGCAAAUGAUUAUAAUAUUUUUAAAUGUAAGAUGAGUCCUUUUUAUUACACAUAGAAAUAGCUACUGUAAAUAGCAAACUCUAACACUGUGCCUAAUUAGGAAAUAAAGGUAACCAUAAAUACAGUAAAAAUGAAACAAUGUUAUUAUGCUUUAACCUGAUAGUGUGGCUUGCAAGGCCCUGGGCCUGAAGCCUGGGCAAUAAGUGAGAGUUAGAAAGGUGUCAAAGACAUGAUAGCAGCAAACUGAGGCUUUGUACCCCACGGUAAAUAGGACUGAAAGCAAAUUCACAGGGAGCAACUGAUCCAUUCCACAACAGAAUGCUCCCUGUCAAUUUGCUUUCCAUUCUGUUGUGUCCUGUCUCCCAGCAGAGACUACAAACUCCCCAAAACCACUUACCCACCAGCUGCACGUGAGAAGCCAAAGGUAGUUUAUGUGAAAGGGCUUUGGAAAUAAUCACGCACCAAGUGAAGGCAGAGGACACACCUUGUCAGCUUAGUUCUCAGCAGCAAAUCAUCUCUUUUCCAGGAUAACCCUCCCUGAUUCUUAUUGAAAUCUCUUUGCUGAUCACACUAAGCUCUUCUCUCUCAGGGGCAGUGGGAGCCGUGGAGAGUGGAGUAGACCAGCUGUCUGUGACCUGCAAGGGAGUCCAAUGUCAGAAUCACUCCCCAGCCAAAUGCACGGUUUUAAAAAAUCUAUUUAUUUAUUUAUGUAGAGACCAGGCUAUGAGACUGGCUAAUUUUUCGUAUUUUUGGAUAGAGACAGGAUUUCAUCAUGUUGCCCAGGCUGGUCUUGAACUCCUGGGCUCAAGCGAUCCACCUGCCUCGGCUUCCCAAAGUGCUCGGGAUUACAGGCGUGAGCCACUUCCCAGCUACUUGGGAGGCUGGGGCAUGAGAAUUGCUUUAACCCGGAAGGUGGAGUUUGCAGUGAGCCGAGAUCGUGUCACUGCACUCCAGCCUGGGCGACAGAGGGAGACUCUGUCUCAAAAAAAAAAAAGUCAAGGAGGGUUUCCCAGAGUGGCCACUUGAUUAGAGACCUAGCACAGGAGGAAGAGAUGGGCAGGGAGAGUGACGGGGAGCAGCACAGUCCCUGGGAGCCCGAAGUGGGUGGGCACAGGGCUCCCUAGGAGAAUGGAAGGACAUCUAUGAGCUGUAGCCCAAGAGGAAGAGGUCACUGAGGCUAGAUGUGGCAGACCCUCGCGGGCUUUGGGGAGGGCUUCACAAUUCAGCCUGAGGGCAAUGGGGAGCCCUUUUGGGAUAUUAAACUUGAGAAAAUAUGAGCAUAUUUGCAUCUUGAAAAAUCAUUAUGGGAAGAUGGCUGGGAAGAGAGGAGGAGUGGCAGAAGAAAGAUAGGUUGGAGACAAUUGAUUGUUCGAUGAUAUAAAAUGUUAAGUACCGUGAAUGAUGCUGUUUGGCUGGAAUGCACCAAGCAUAAAGGUGGGGCAUGGCAUCAAAAGGUAGGUCAACAUAUUAAAUAAUUCCAUGUAUUGAAAUAUCCAGAAAAUAUAUAGACAGAUCUAUAGAGAUAGAAACUGGUCUGCCCAGGACUAGGGGUUGUCUAAGGAUAAGGAGUUUCUUUUUUGGAUGGUGAAAUAACCUAAAAUAUAUUGUGCCAUUGUUUGCAAAACUUUGUGAAUAUAUUAAAAACCUGUUAAUUGUACUCAC
This 3940-nucleotide long non-coding RNA is filed under the name Pan troglodytes (chimpanzee). Its description in RNAcentral is "lincRNA". Lineage: Eukaryota; Metazoa; Chordata; Mammalia; Primates; Hominidae. The record is from RNAcentral.